GAUCAUGGCUCAGGAUGAACGCUAGCUACAGGCUUAACACAUGCAAGUCGAGGGGCAGCAUUUCAGUUUGCUUGCAAACUGGAGAUGGCGACCGGCGCACGGGUGAGUAACACGUAUCCAACCUGCCGAUAACUCGGGGAUAGCCUUUCGAAAGAAAGAUUAAUACCCGAUGGUAUAAUCGAGACCGCAUGGUCUUGUAUUAAAGAAUUUCGGUAUCGAUGGGGAUGCGUUCCAUUAGGG
This 240-nucleotide ribosomal RNA is filed under the name uncultured bacterium. RNAcentral describes it as "partial 16S ribosomal RNA". It matches the Rfam family "Bacterial small subunit ribosomal RNA", at positions 15 to 246 of the family's 1533-position model. The record is from RNAcentral.